GAGUAACACGUGGGCAACCUGCCCUCAGCUCUGGGAUAACUCCGGGAAACCGGGGCUAAUACUGGAUAUUCACUGCUCAUCGCAUGGUGGGUGGUGGAAAGUUUUUCGGCUGGGGAUGGGCCCGCGGCCUAUCAGCUUGUUGGUGGGGUGAUGGCCUACCAAGGCGACGACGGGUAGCCGGCCUGAGAGGGCGACCGGCCACACUGGGACUGAGACACGG
This 220-nucleotide ribosomal RNA is filed under the name Diacronema lutheri. RNAcentral describes it as "partial Bacterial small subunit ribosomal RNA". It matches the Rfam family "Bacterial small subunit ribosomal RNA", at positions 108 to 329 of the family's 1533-position model. Lineage: Eukaryota; Haptophyta; Pavlovophyceae; Pavlovales; Pavlovaceae. The record is from RNAcentral.